UACGUAGGGGGCAAGCGUUGUCCGGAUUUAUUGGGCGUAAAGAGCGUGUAGGCGGCUUUACAGGUCCGUUGUGAAAACUCGAGGCUCAACCUCGAGACGCCGGUGGAAACCGUAAGGCUAGAGUCCGGAAGAGGAGAGUGGAAUUCCUGGCGUAGCGGUGAAAUGCGCAGAUAUCUGGAGGAACACCGGUGGCGAAGGCGGCGUCCUGGACCAACACUGACACUGAUGAGCGAAAGCCAGGGGAGCAAACGGG
RNAcentral lists this ribosomal RNA (253 nucleotides) under uncultured bacterium. RNAcentral describes it as "partial 16S ribosomal RNA". It matches the Rfam family "Bacterial small subunit ribosomal RNA", at positions 524 to 776 of the family's 1533-position model. The record is from RNAcentral.